This is a non-coding RNA of Rattus norvegicus (Norway rat), 653 nucleotides long. Lineage: Eukaryota; Metazoa; Chordata; Mammalia; Rodentia; Muridae. The record is from RefSeq and is a predicted model, not a curated record.
CAGACUUUAGAUGAAGAUGUAGAAUUCUCAGCCCUGCCUGCACCAUGCCUGCCUAAAUGCUGCCCUAUUCUGACCUUGAUGAUGAUGGACUGAACCUCUGAACCUCAAUGAUUUAUGAAGUUCCUUCCAUGAACCAAGCAAUAUUCUGGGAGCUCUUGAUGUCAAGGAGUAUACAUAAAAAUGAAAGGAACAGGAUGCUAAAUGCAGCUUUAGUCAGCGCUGUUUAAGAGGCUAUAUAUUUAAGUGUGGGGCCCUGCACACCAGACACCGCCGAAAACUGAAGGGACCGACCAGACAAACAAUUCUCUGCACCCAAAUCCCGUGGGAGGAAGAGCUAAACCUUCAGAGAGGCAGAAAGGCCUAGGAAGCCAGAAGAGACUACACUCUGCCCACAUUUCUGACUCCAGGAGAAAACACCAAACACCAUCUGGAACCUUGGUGCACAGGGGCUCCCAGAGAAGGCAGCACAGGUCCCCCUGGUUGCUGCCCUCACGGAGAGCUCAUAAGCAACACCUCACGAGCAAACUUGAGCCUCGGGACCACAGAUGUCUGUAAACAUAUGUUUUUAUGGAAAAAUCACAAUGGACUGGCGAACAGCUUUAUUCUAUGCUACCCUGGCUUUGAUUAAACAAAUAUACCAUAAAUAAAUAAAA